GUUAGCUUUACAUUUAUUAGCUUUCAUUUCAGGUGCGCAUAUUGAAGAGUUUGACGAUAUAGAUGAUGAGAUGGAGGAAGAAAACAUUGAUGAUGAGGAUGAUGAAAAGGCACCGCAAAAGAAACGAAAGCUUUUAGCAGAGGAUAAAAAAAACGGCAUUAAACGGAUGAAGAUGUAGACAAAUAGAACAUUAAGAUUAAAAAAAAAUAUACACUGCGUUAUAAUUAAUGUGUCUUCUAAAAAAUACGACAUCAUUGCACUAAAAAUACUUUAAAUUUCACUUGACUUUAUCAUAUUUUUAAGAGGAAUUACAAUUUAAAGAAUUCGAAAAAGUGGAAGUGAUCCACUUGUAAAAAGUCAUGAAUGUAUCUUUGAUCUAUUAUAUCUGUGUUCUCAUUCCAUGUUCGUUUUAUUUUUGUAAAAUAAAUCAUAUUUUGCAAGGA
Long non-coding RNA from Formica exsecta, 443 nucleotides. RefSeq lists it as uncharacterized. Lineage: Eukaryota; Metazoa; Arthropoda; Insecta; Hymenoptera; Formicidae. The transcript is spliced from 2 exons. The record is from RefSeq and is a predicted model, not a curated record.